UUUUUUUUUUCUUUCGCUGUUGAAUUGUUUGAGUUUCUUAUAUGUUCUGUGACAUAAUCCCUUGCUAGAUGGAGAAUCUGCAGUUAUCUCCUUCUGAUCCACAGGAGCUGUUCUUUCUCUGUCCAGUGCUUCCUCCAUUCUGCAGAAGACUAUGGUUGGGUGAAACCCUGUCACCUUUGCUUUUGUCACCAUACUUUUGGGGUCAUAUCCAAAGAAUCUGCCCAGACCAAAGUCCUGGAUCAAUUUCUCAGGCAGCCUUUUAAACCAGCUCUUUAACCAUGAAAAAAUAUUAAUUUUAUCUUUCAACAAAAGUUAAAUUUGACAAGGUCUUUACUAGUAGGAGAGUAAUUGUUUUAGUCUAGCACAGAGCAGGAGAUAAUGUAAAGAAGCAGGAUUUGAGUGUUGGACCCAUGACUACUGUCAGUCAAUUCCUCUUAAAAAGAGGAAUCAGCACCAUCAAUUGAUUAAGGUGGGAAAAAGCAAUGACUAGCAUUGCCAUUCGAGUUGCCACUGUGUGUCUUCUUCAAAGAAAUUCAAAGAAAAUUAACGAGACCACUCAAGAAAAUUCUAAAGGAAUUUUUUAAAACUAUUUUUUAAAAAUGUUUCUUUUAUUAUUUUUUUAUUUGUGUUUGGGAAAACUACUAUUGUUUUGUAAACAUUACAUGUUUGCCAGUGUUCAUCAUUAAGAAUCAAAACAGCAUAAAUCUGAAUGUAGGGAAAAUCAUCUCAAUUUCCACCCCAUGACAUUAUCAUUUUUAAGAGUAUAAAAAUAUUUUCCAGGUGGGAGGAUGGGUAGGUAAAAAUGUAGUAGGGAUUUGGAGGCUGAGGCAGG
This 832-nucleotide long non-coding RNA is filed under the name Marmota monax (woodchuck). The record is from RNAcentral. Lineage: Eukaryota; Metazoa; Chordata; Mammalia; Rodentia; Sciuridae.